RNAcentral lists this small RNA (65 nucleotides) under Leptospira meyeri. RNAcentral describes it as "Flavo-1 RNA". Lineage: Bacteria; Pseudomonadati; Spirochaetota; Leptospiria; Leptospirales; Leptospiraceae. The record is from RNAcentral.
AUACAACCGUGUAAGGAAAUCCUUUUGCAUUAGCAAAAGAUUGGAAGCGUAAAGCGCGAUCGCUU